This 253-nucleotide ribosomal RNA is filed under the name uncultured bacterium. RNAcentral's name for it is "partial 16S ribosomal RNA". It matches the Rfam family "Bacterial small subunit ribosomal RNA", at positions 524 to 776 of the family's 1533-position model. The record is from RNAcentral.
UACAGAGGGGGCAAGCGUUGUUCGGAAUUACUGGGCGUAAAGGGCGCGUAGGCGGAUAGAUAAGUCGGGCGUGAAAUCCCCAGGCUCAACCUGGGAACUGCACUCGAAACUGUUUAUCUUGAGUGCCGGAGAGGAAAGCGGAAUUCCUGGUGUAGAGGUGAAAUUCGUAGAUAUCAGGAGGAACACCGGUGGCGAAGGCGGGUCUCUGGGCAACAACUGACGCUGAGGAGCGAAAGCGUGGGGAGCGAACAGG